RNAcentral lists this ribosomal RNA (352 nucleotides) under Hydnum alboluteum. RNAcentral's name for it is "partial 28S ribosomal RNA". It matches the Rfam family "Eukaryotic large subunit ribosomal RNA", at positions 1 to 342 of the family's 3401-position model. Lineage: Eukaryota; Fungi; Basidiomycota; Agaricomycetes; Cantharellales; Hydnaceae. The record is from RNAcentral.
UUUUGACCUCGAAUCAGGUGGGACUACCCGCUGAACUUAAGCAUAUCAAUAAGCGGAGGAAAAGAAACUAACAAGGAUUCCCCUAGUAACGGCGAGUGAAGUGGGAUGAGCUCAAAUUUAAAAUCUGGUAGUCUUUGGCUGCCCGAGUUGUAAUCUAGAGAAGUGUUUUCUGUGCUGGACUGUGUUCAAGUUUCCUGGAUAUGGAACAUCAUAGAGGGUGAGAAUCCCGUCUUUGGCACAGACUCCCAGUGCUCUGUGAUGCACUCUCAACGAGUCGAGUUGUUUGGGAUUGCAGCUCAAAAUGGGAGGUAAAUUCCUUCUAAAGCUAAAUAUUGGCGAGAGACCGAUAGCG